Non-coding RNA from Taeniopygia guttata (zebra finch), 258 nucleotides. NCBI's taxonomy places the organism in Eukaryota, Metazoa, Chordata, Aves, Passeriformes, Estrildidae. The record is from RefSeq and is a predicted model, not a curated record.
CCAACAUGCCGCAUCUUAGAGACCCUCAUGGGAUGCUGUUGGGGCUACAGCAGGGCAAAACAGUUCUUUCUUGGUUAUGUCAGAGGUGUAGGAAAGAAUGAGGCAACUCAGCUGCAGACAUACCUGGGGAGGCUUUGUUAGACCACAGCCCCAGGCUGCUGCUGCUGGUCUGCUGAAGACAUUUCCCUGCCAUCAAACAAGUUCAAACCUUUUGCUGAAACAGGACCUGGUUUCGUUAUUUUCUUCUCAAUUCUCACC